UGCAAGUCGAACGGUAACAGGAAGAAGCUUGCUUCUUCGCUGACGAGUGGCAAACGGGCGAGUAACACGUAUUCAACUAUCCCUGGAGAGGGGGACAACUGCCGAAAGGCAGCUAAUCCCGCAUACGCUGUAUGCUAUGAAAAAGCAUACGGGAAAACUACGGUGCUCUAGGAGAGGGGUGCGCUUCAACAGCUAGUUGGUGUGGUAACGGCACACCAAGGCUAUGACGAAUAGCCGGCCUGAGAGGGCGACCGGCCGCAACGGGACUGAGACACGGCCCGUACUCCUACGGGAGGCAGCAGUGAGGAAUCUUGGACAAUGGGCGAAAGCCUGAUCCAGCUAUCCUGCGUGAAGGAUGACGCUUUACGGAGUGUAAACUUCUUUUCUGGUGGAAGACGAAUGACGGUACAUCAGGAAUAAGGGGCGGCUAACUACGUGCCAGCAGCCGCGGUAAUACGUAGGCCCCGAGCAUUACCCGGAGUUACUGGGCGUAAAGUGUCCCUAGCCGGGCUUAUAAGUCUGUCUUUAAAUACCAAAGCUUAACUUUGGACCGGGGGCAGAUACUGUAAGCCUAGAGUUACUGGGGGGUUAGUAGAAUUUCCGGUGGAGUGGUGAAAUAUGUUGAUAUCGGAAGGAAUGCCAAAAGUGAAGACAGCUAACUAACAGUAAACUGACGGUGAAGGACGAAAGCUUAGGUAGCAAACAGGAUUAGAUACCCUGGUAGUCUAAGCUGUAAAUGAUGUAUGCUAAAUGUUGGUCACUUCGGUGAUCAGUAUUGCACCUAACGGGUUAAGCAUAUCGCCUGGGGAGUAUAGCCGCAAGGCCGAAACUCAAAAGGAUAGGCGGGGGAACACACAAGCAGUGGAUUGUCUCGAUUAAUUGGAUAAUAAGCCGAGAAUCUUACCCGGACUUGACAUCCUGCGAAUUCUUUGGAAACAGAGAAGUGCUUGGCUUGCCAAGAGCGCAGAGACAGGUGCUGCACGGCCGUCGUCAGCUCGUGCCGCAAGGUGUCUGGUUAAUUCCAGUAACGAGCGCAACCCUUGCAUCUAGUUAGAAAUGUCUAGAUGGACUGCCUGGGUAACCAGGAGGAAGGGAGGACGAUGUCAGGUCAUCAUGGCCCUUAUGUCCGGGGCUUCAGAGGCGAUACAAUGGGAUAGUACAAAGGGAAGCGAAGCCGCGAGGUGAAGCAAAACCUCAAAACUACUCUAAGUACGGACUGUAGUCUGGAACCGACUACAUGAAGUUGGAAUCGCUAGUAAUCCUAGGUCAGCAACACUAGGGUGAAUAUGUCCCUGUUCCUUGCACUCACCGCCCGUCACACCAUGGGAGUUGGAUUACUCUGAAGAUUCUUAAUAGGGAUUAAGGAGAAAUUCGAUGACUGGGGUGAAGUCGGAACAAGGUA
This 1402-nucleotide ribosomal RNA is filed under the name metagenome. RNAcentral describes it as "bacterial SSU rRNA". It matches the Rfam family "Bacterial small subunit ribosomal RNA". The record is from RNAcentral.